UACGAAGGGGGCGAGCGCUGUUCGGAAUUACUGGGCGUAAAGGGCGCGUAGGCGGCCGAUCAAGUCAGAUGUGAAAGUCCUGGGCUUAACCUGGGGACUGCAUUUGAUACUGAUUGGCUUGAAUUCGGGAGAGGAUAGCGGAAUUCCCAGUGUAGAGGUGAAAUUCGUAGAUAUUGGGAAGAACACCGGUGGCGAAGGCGGCUUCCUGGACCGACACUGACGCUGAGGCGCGAAAGCUAGGGGAGCAAACGGG
RNAcentral lists this ribosomal RNA (253 nucleotides) under uncultured bacterium. RNAcentral's name for it is "partial 16S ribosomal RNA". It matches the Rfam family "Bacterial small subunit ribosomal RNA", at positions 524 to 776 of the family's 1533-position model. The record is from RNAcentral.